Molecule: ribosomal RNA, 472 nt
Filed under: uncultured bacterium
Lineage: Bacteria
Description: bacterial SSU rRNA
Rfam family: Bacterial small subunit ribosomal RNA
Source: RNAcentral
UGGGGAAUAUUGGACAAUGGGCGAAAGCCUGAUCCAGCCAUGCCGCGUGUGUGAAGAAGGUCUUCGGAUUGUAAAGCACUUUAGGUUGGGAGGAAGGGCAGUUACCUAAUACGUGAUUGUUUUGACGUUACCGACAGAAUAAGCACCGGCUAACUCUGUGCCAGCAGCCGCGGUAAUACAGAGGGUGCAAGCGUUAAUCGGAAUUACUGGGCGUAAAGCGCGCGUAGGUGGUUAGUUAAGUUGGAUGUGAAAUCCCCGGGCUCAACCUGGGAACUGCAUUCAAAACUGACUGACUAGAGUAUGGUAGAGGGUGGUGGAAUUUCCUGUGUAGCGGUGAAAUGCGUAGAUAUAGGAAGGAACACCAGUGGCGAAGGCGACCACCUGGACUGAUACUGACACUGAGGUGCGAAAGCGUGGGGAGCAAACAGGAUUAGAUACCCCAGUAGUCCCUGAGCGGGCUGGCAAGGCGCAU